RNAcentral lists this ribosomal RNA (253 nucleotides) under uncultured bacterium. Its description in RNAcentral is "partial 16S ribosomal RNA". It matches the Rfam family "Bacterial small subunit ribosomal RNA", at positions 524 to 776 of the family's 1533-position model. The record is from RNAcentral.
UACAGCGGGUGCAAGCGUUAAUCGGAAUUACUGGGCGUAAAGCGCGCGUAGGUGGUUUGUUAAGUUGGAUGUGAAAUCCCCGGGCUCAACCUGGGAACUGCAUUCAAAACUGACUGACUAGAGUGUGGUAGAGGGUGGUGGAAUUUCCUGUGUAGCGGUGAAAUGCGUAGAUAUAGGAUGGAUUUCCUAAGGCGACGGCGACCACCGAGACCUACACUGACACUGAGGUGCGAAAGCGUGGGGAGCAAACAGG